GCCGAAAGGUAGCUUGCUCUCGCGUUGUUCGCGGCGGCAGGGUGAGUAACACGUGGGUAACCUGCCUGCUAAAGACUGGGAUAACUCCGGGAAACCGGAGCUAAUACCGGAUAGUUCCUUGAACCGCAUGGUUCAAGGAUGAAAGACGGUUUCGGCUGUCACUUACAGAUGGACCCGCGGCGCAUUAGCUAGUUGGUGGGGUAAUGGCUCACCAAGGCGACGAUGCGUAGCCGACCUGAGAGGGUGAUCGGCCACACUGGGACUGAGACACGGCCCAGACUCCUACGGGAGGCAGCAGUAGGGAAUCUUCCGCAAUGGACGAAAGUCUGACGGAGCAACGCCGCGUGAGUGAUGAAGGUUUUCGGAUCGUAAAGCUCUGUUGUUAGGGAAGAACAAGUGCGAGAGUAACUGCUCGCACCUUGACGGUACCUAACCAGAAAGCCACGGCUAACUACGUGCCAGCAGCCGCGGUAAUACGUAGGUGGCAAGCGUUGUCCGGAAUUAUUGGGCGUAAAGGGCUCGCAGGCGGUUUCUUAAGUCUGAUGUGAAAGCCCCCGGCUCAACCGGGGAGGGUCAUUGGAAACUGGGAAACUUGAGUGCAGAAGAGGAGAGUGGAAUUCCACGUGUAGCGGUGAAAUGCGUAGAGAUGUGGAGGAACACCAGUGGCGAAGGCGACUCUCUGGUCUGUAACUGACGCUGAGGAGCGAAAGCGUGGGGAGCGAACAGGAUUAGAUACCCUGGUAGUCCACGCCGUAAACGAUGAGUGCUAAGUGUUAGGGGGUUUCCGCCCCUUAGUGCUGCAGCUAACGCAUUAAGGCACUCCGCCCUGGGGAGUACAGUCGCAAGACUGAAACUCAAAGGGAAUUGACGGGGGGGGCCCGGCAACAAAGCCGGGUGGGAAGCAAUUGUGG
Molecule: ribosomal RNA, 911 nt
Filed under: Bacillus pumilus
Lineage: Bacteria; Bacillati; Bacillota; Bacilli; Caryophanales; Bacillaceae
Description: bacterial SSU rRNA
Rfam family: Bacterial small subunit ribosomal RNA
Source: RNAcentral